GGUGAUGUAGCUCAGGCAGGUUAGAGCGUAUGUUUUUACAUGAGGUCGGCGGUUCGAAUCCGCCCAUCACUUCA
Molecule: transfer RNA, 74 nt
Filed under: Caudoviricetes sp.
Lineage: Duplodnaviria; Heunggongvirae; Uroviricota; Caudoviricetes
Description: tRNA-OTHER
Rfam family: tRNA
About the family: Transfer RNA (tRNA) molecules are approximately 80 nucleotides in length. Their secondary structure includes four short double-helical elements and three loops (D, anti-codon, and T loops).
Source: RNAcentral